GUCUACAGCCAUGCCACCCUGAAUGUGCCUGAUCUCGUCUGAUCUCUGAGACUAAGCAGGGUCAGGCCUGGUUAGUACUUGAAUGGGAAACCACCUAGGAAGACCUAAUAAUAAUAAUAA
This 120-nucleotide ribosomal RNA is filed under the name Pteropus alecto (black flying fox). The record is from RNAcentral. Lineage: Eukaryota; Metazoa; Chordata; Mammalia; Chiroptera; Pteropodidae.